GCGAGUGAACGGCAGAAGCUCAAAUUUGAAAUCUAGUACCUUCGGUGCUCGAGUUGUAAUUUGAAGAUGGUAACUUUGGAGUUGGCCCUUGUCUAUGUUCCUUGGAACAGGACGUCACAGAGGGUGAGAAUCCCGUCUGACGAGGUGAUCCAACUCUAUGUAAAGUGCUAUCGAAGAGUCGAGUUGUUUGGGAAUGCAGCUCUAAGUGGGUGGUAAAUUCCAUCUAAAGCUAAAUAUUGGCGAGAGACCGAUAGCGAACAAGUACAGUGAUGGAAAGAUGAAAAGAACUUUGAAAAGAGAGUGAAAAAGUACGUGAAAUAGUUGAAAGGGAAGGGUAUUAGAUCAGACUUGGCGUUUUAUGAUUAUCUUCUCUUCUUGAGUUGUGCACUCGUAUUGCGCUGGGCCAGCAUCGAUUCGGAUGGCAGGAUAAUGGCAAUUGAAUGUGGCAUCCACUUCGGUGUAUGUGUUAUAGCUUUUGUUGAUGCUGCCUAUCUGGAUCGAGGACUGCGUCUUUUGACUAGGAUGUUGGCGUAAUGAUCUAAUAUCGCACGUCUUGCAACAC
Molecule: ribosomal RNA, 562 nt
Filed under: Taiozyma odintsovae
Lineage: Eukaryota; Fungi; Ascomycota; Saccharomycetes; Phaffomycetales; Wickerhamomycetaceae
Description: eukaryotic LSU rRNA
Rfam family: Eukaryotic large subunit ribosomal RNA
Source: RNAcentral